RNAcentral lists this microRNA precursor (130 nucleotides) under Amborella trichopoda. Its description in RNAcentral is "miR8582 stem-loop (atr-MIR8582)". The record is from miRBase by way of RNAcentral. Lineage: Eukaryota; Viridiplantae; Streptophyta; Magnoliopsida; Amborellales; Amborellaceae.
AGCGAGCUUUCUCUGCAAGUUAUGUGAUGAACUCCUACUACAGGAGCGAUUUUUAUCUGAAACGUGACUUUGAUCAAAGCCCCGAAUAUAGUAGGAGUCAUGACGUAGCUUGCAGAAAGACAUCCUCACU